UACGGAGGAUCCGAGCGUUAUCCGGAUUUAUUGGGUUUAAAGGGAGCGCAGACGGUUGGAUAAGUCAGCUGUUAAAUGGCGGCGCCCAACGCCGUCCUGCGGUUGAAACUGUCUAUCUUGAGUGCGGCACGGGCAGGCGGAAUUCACGGUGUAGCGGUGAAAUGCUUAGAUAUCGUGAAGAACUCCGAUCGCGAAGGCAGCCUGCCGGACCGUAACUGACGUUGAGGCUCGAAAGCGCGGGUAUC
Molecule: ribosomal RNA, 245 nt
Filed under: uncultured Alloprevotella sp.
Lineage: Bacteria; Pseudomonadati; Bacteroidota; Bacteroidia; Bacteroidales; Prevotellaceae
Description: partial 16S ribosomal RNA
Rfam family: Bacterial small subunit ribosomal RNA
Source: RNAcentral